CCAAGGCAACAUAAGCCACAAAUAGAGUAGCCUUGCAAUAUGUGCUACUUCUGGUUGAGCAUCAUUUCGGAUUGGGCACCGCCUUAUAUCGAGUAUCAGUCCUAGACGACAUCUAGUUACUUCGGCCCACACAUGGACUGAAUUUCAAGUCUCCAGCCAAAAGACUUUUUUGACUGAAGACUUGGGGGACUACUGUUUGUACCAUACUUAGGGCCUCCAUAUUUAGAUCUCGUAUAAAUACUCGAAUGACUUAAAUGUAAUUAUGUAAUAAAGGAAGGGGCAAAUAUGUAAUAAGUGAGGAGCCCUUAUUCUAUAAAAGGACCCCUCAACUCUCCUCAUUAAGGGAUGCCAUUUCUUAAGCCUCCUCACAUCCCCUAAGCUCUAAGCUCUCUCAAAGCUCUCACUCUCAUAUUCAGAGCUCUCUCUCCCUCAUAAAUAUAAUAUCAAUGUGGACGUAGCCCAAACCUUGGGGUAAACCACGAUACAUCUUGUGUUAUUUACUUUCUUGCAGAUUCACGAUCGGAUUUACGUUGUUCCAAGACCCCUCUGGUUUUAUGCAUCAACAAAGCCAUCAACUGAUCCUUUUAAAACAAACAAACAAACAAAAACCAAAAAAAAAAAAAAAAAAGCACUGCCAAGAUACAAACUAAUUCUAAAAUAUGAGUCCAUUUGUUAAAAAAAAAAAUGAGUUCAUCAUGCACAUAAAUUAAAAUAUAAUUUUUUUUUUGCCGUACUCUCUCUCGUUUAAGCCGGCCUUCUCUAUUUUAUUCGAGGGAAAACCCUACUCAGUCCCUGACCAUGAAAACCCUAAAAAUUAGCAUUACACGUCGGAGCUGACUCAUAUAUAUCCACGUUGAUAUCCUCAAUGUGCUUUCUGCUACUUGUAGGCAAUGUGCUUUCUGCUACUUGUAGGCACCCCCAACGGUUCACAUCUAUCCCUUUAUUACUUUAUUAUUUUGGACGAUUUGUCUACAAAUUCUUUCAUUUCAUUCGUUUGGAUUUUGGAAUUCAAAAACCACUCGUUUCUUUUGAAUUAAUGGGAUACAAAAGUAACAAAACAUUACUAAUUAAUACUAGGGAGUAGGGAAAUUACACGGAUGGUCUAGUAAUUGGGACGAAUUUUAAGUUUCUAUUCCACACACCAUGCCCUGAGUCGAAUUCUGUUAUUGUGUGAACUACACGAUGGUGCAAAGGAGGAGACUGAAAUGCCUUUAUGAGUCUUUUCAACCUCCCAAAGAGUUAACUAACGUGAUUAAGCUACCAGUUGGUCCUUUUUCUUAGGGAAAACUAGGGAGUAGGGAUGAUGGCUUUGGUGUUAUAAUAAUGGAUUACCAAUUGAAAGAAAGGAUAGCUACGUACCUUCGUAUGUUUGUGUCGAUAAACACUUGAACUCGAUCGAGAGCUUUUAUAUUUGUUGAUUAGUUGCCUAGCUAUCAAGUCAUUUUUUUUAAUGCCAAGGACUGCAAGAAAUGUAUGAGAAAAACAUGCAUGUAUAAAAAAAUAAAAUUUACCAUUAUAAUUCUAAACCCAAGAAAAAUUCCAAAGUCAGUUGUUGAGAUGGAAUGGGUUUUAAGGCUAGGUCUCAUUAAUUAACCGAUGCGAUCAACUUGAAAGUUGUUUACGCGUAUGUGAGCAUUUGUCAAAAUAAUAAAGGUUCGUUUGGAUAUACUUUUAAAAUGACUGAAAGCUUUUAAAGCACUUAAAGUGCAUUAUGCAAGAAGCUAGUUAUGUGCUUCUUCCAGGAAGCAUUUUAAGUGUUUUUCCAGAUUUUUUUUGCAUUUUUACCAAAGAUUGGCUCCAAAAAUAUUUUCACCAAAAACACUUUCAGUCAUUUUAAAAGCACAACCAAACAAGUUCCAAUACGUUUAAUCAUCUACCACUGAUAGAGUAAAUAAAACCGACAAAAUAUAUUCAUCAACAAGAAGGUGAUCCUGAUUAGCCGGUUUUAUCAAUAAAACAUUCGAUGACAAUACUAAGUAGUUUUCUCUUAGCGACAAGAAGGUAACAGAUAAAAUAGUCUCCAACAAAUUAAAGAGAUAAAUCUCAAAAAAAAAAAAAAAAUGAAUAUACGAAAAGUAAAAUAAAAAAGAGUCCCACAUGUGAGGGGUGUGGGAGGAUGUCAAGGUAAAAUAGUCCUACAUCGGCGAAAGAAAACCUACAUGCAUACACGUUAGGUUUGUUUGUUCUAGCUAUUAGGGUUCUUAACUUAUAAAAGAACUAUAAGUUAAGAAACCUACAUUUCCAUCACUCAACCAUAGAAAACUAAUUAUAACUCUAUUUAGAAGAAGUCAACAUAUAUAUAGUAGAUAUUUAGGUUUUACAUACUCCACACGAUCCUCAACAACAACAAUCAUAAUUAGAGUUAACUCGAUGACAUACAUAAAGAGUAAUGAUUUUGGCAUUCUCUUUGACACUUCAGAUGAGCACUUUAUGAUUUUCAUGCAUUCCGAGUAAAGAGUGGUAGAAGCUAAACUACGAAUGUCAAAAUUGUUGCUCUCCCUAAAUUAGCAACAUUGUCAUAUAAUUGGCGACAUUGUCAAUCAAACACUGACAACAUAUAAUAAAAUUUCGAAAAUUGAUCAUUUUAACAAUUAAAAUUUGUAUGUUCAUCAUUUCAGCCAAUUUUUAAAAUUAUUAAACAGACGUAGGUUUUCAUAUUUAAUAUCACCCUCAAAGGAAAUCCCAUAAAUUGAUAAAGAGCAGGGUCGGUCCUAAGAAUUUAGGGAUCCUGUGCAAGAUUUAGAUGGAGGCCCUUCAUCUUUCUUAAUACUGUAUUUUCUUUGCUAUUUUUUUUUUCAAUUUGUAUCUAUAAAAUUUAAAUACUACAAAUUAGAGCACCAAAUUAUAAGUAUUAUUUGAGUGGACAAGAGCAUUUCUUGUUUUGAAAGGUUUUCAAUUAGAAAUAUGUUGCAUGGUUUUUUGUGUAAAACUUGUCAACUUUUUAAGUUAAUAAAUUUGAUAAACUUAAAAAUAGCAAAAUUGUUCCACAGGGACUCGUGGUUUUUUGUGUAAAACUUAUCAACUUUUUAAGUUAAUAAAUUUGCAAAACUUAAAAAUAGCAAAAUUGUACCACAAGGACCCAAGCCAUGUUCAAGAAAAUUAAAGGCCUACACCACUAGUGCUGGUACAGUAAUUAUUAUUAUCUUG
Molecule: long non-coding RNA, 3147 nt
Filed under: Malus domestica (apple)
Lineage: Eukaryota; Viridiplantae; Streptophyta; Magnoliopsida; Rosales; Rosaceae
Description: long non-coding RNA (MDOM_LNC003670)
Source: RNAcentral